This 75-nucleotide transfer RNA is filed under the name Candidatus Omnitrophota bacterium. RNAcentral's name for it is "tRNA-Pro". It matches the Rfam family "tRNA". Rfam says of the family: Transfer RNA (tRNA) molecules are approximately 80 nucleotides in length. Their secondary structure includes four short double-helical elements and three loops (D, anti-codon, and T loops). The record is from RNAcentral. Lineage: Bacteria; Pseudomonadati; Candidatus Omnitrophota.
CGGGGGUUGGCGCAGUUUGGCUAGCGCGCUUGAAUGGGGUUCAAGAGGUCGAGAGUUCAAGUCUCUCACCCCCGA